Non-coding RNA from Theobroma cacao (cacao), 369 nucleotides. The record is from RefSeq and is a predicted model, not a curated record. NCBI's taxonomy places the organism in Eukaryota, Viridiplantae, Streptophyta, Magnoliopsida, Malvales, Malvaceae.
GUUGAGGGCUGCAGUUGGACUUGCAUCCUCAAAAACUGGGAGGUGCGAAAACUGAUAUUAAAGCCUUGCAAGGUUCCGAUUGGUAUUUUGGGCAAUGAAUGUCUAUGGGACGUCGCAACGGUUGUUAUGAGCUCGAGGGAAGUACCGGGUCGUGACAAAACUACAUGUGUCGUAAAGCCACAGGUGGUGGAAAUUCAUGAGAAACAGAGUGUAGGGGUACAAAUGAGCCAUCUAUAGUUAGUGAUGAGUCAAAUUCUUGUAAUGACAUUGUACAGCCAAAUAUAGUGAGAGUUAAGCAACAAGAGUAACCUUGCACAAAAUCUAAAGUUGGAGAUCUAUUAGAGUGCAUCGACCAUCCUUUAAGAAUCA